This 236-nucleotide long non-coding RNA is filed under the name Mytilus galloprovincialis (Mediterranean mussel). Lineage: Eukaryota; Metazoa; Mollusca; Bivalvia; Mytilida; Mytilidae. The record is from RNAcentral.
AAAAAAAAAUCCUUUCUAAGCCAAGCUGACCUUUUCCCUUUCCCAGGACAAUUCGACAAAGUGUCACAUCCACUGAAUGCCUGGACGAAAGUAAGAGCAGCUACACAAGGACCAAACACAUUUGAUAUGUCACGUACAGGAAGCCAACAAAAGUCUUUAUUCCUUCCAUAACCUGUCCACAAUGUGUUCUACCUAGUUUUGCGAUUGCUGCAAUUCUUGAUACUAUUACAUCUGUG